Molecule: ribosomal RNA, 253 nt
Filed under: uncultured bacterium
Lineage: Bacteria
Description: partial 16S ribosomal RNA
Rfam family: Bacterial small subunit ribosomal RNA
Source: RNAcentral
UACGUAGGUGGCAAGCGUUGUCCGGAUUUACUGGGCGUAAAGAGCGCGCAGGCGGUCGUUCAAGUCGCGUGUGAAAGCCCCCGGCUCAACUGGGGAGGGUCACGCGAUACUGAUCGACUCGAAGGCAGGAGAGGGUAGUGGAAUUCCCGGUGUAGUGGUGAAAUGCGUAGAUAUCGGGAGGAACACCUGUGGUGUAGACGGCUUCGUGGACCGCCACUGACGCUGAGGCACGAAAGCGUGGGUAGCAAACAGG